CGGGGUGAGUAACGCGUGGGUAACCUGCCUCAUACAGGGGGAUAACAGUUAGAAAUGACUGCUAAUACCGCAUAAGCGCACAGUGCUGCAUGGCACAGUGUGAAAAACUCCGGUGGUAUGAGAUGGACCCGCGUCUGAUUAGGUAGUUGGUGGGGUAACGGCCUACCAAGCCGACGAUCAGUAGCCGACCUGAGAGGGUGCCGGCCACAUUGGGACUGAGACACGGCCCAA
This 231-nucleotide ribosomal RNA is filed under the name uncultured bacterium. RNAcentral's name for it is "partial 16S ribosomal RNA". It matches the Rfam family "Bacterial small subunit ribosomal RNA", at positions 104 to 334 of the family's 1533-position model. The record is from RNAcentral.